AAGUCGUAACAAGGUUUCCGUAGGUGAACCUGCGGAAGGAUCAUUACCGUGGGGGCUUCGGCCCCAUUGAGAUGGCACCCUUUGUUUAUGAGUACCCUUGUUUCCUCGGCGGGCUUGCCCGCCAGUAGGACAUUAAAACCCUUUGCAGUAGUAGUGACUUCAGUUAAAACAAAUAUUAAAA
This 181-nucleotide unclassified non-coding RNA is filed under the name plant metagenome. Its description in RNAcentral is "partial contains small subunit ribosomal RNA and internal transcribed spacer 1". The stretch from base 1 to 46 matches the Rfam family "Eukaryotic small subunit ribosomal RNA", at positions 1786 to 1831 of the family's 1831-position model. The record is from RNAcentral.